UACGUAGGGUGCGAGCGUUGUCCGGAAUUAUUGGGCGUAAAGGGCUCGUAGGUGGUUUGUCGCGUUGUUCGUGAAAACUCACAGCUCAACUGUGGGCGUGCGGGCGAUACGGGCAGACUAGAGUACUGCAGGGGAGACUGGAAUUCCUGGUGUAGCGGUGGAAUGCGCAGAUAUCAGGAGGAACACCGGUGGCGAAGGCGGGUCUCUGGGCAGUAACUGACGCUGAGGAGCGAAAGCGUGGGGAGCGAACAGG
This 253-nucleotide ribosomal RNA is filed under the name uncultured bacterium. RNAcentral describes it as "partial 16S ribosomal RNA". It matches the Rfam family "Bacterial small subunit ribosomal RNA", at positions 524 to 776 of the family's 1533-position model. The record is from RNAcentral.